Molecule: unclassified non-coding RNA, 403 nt
Filed under: soil metagenome
Description: partial contains 5.8S ribosomal RNA, internal transcribed spacer 2, and large subunit ribosomal RNA
Rfam family: 5.8S ribosomal RNA (bases 2-120)
Source: RNAcentral
GUGAAGAACGCAGCGAAAUGCGAUAAGUAAUGUGAAUUGCAGAAUUCAGUGAAUCAUCGAAUCUUUGAACGCACCUUGCGCCCUUUGGCUAUUCCGAAGGGCAUGCCUGUUUGAGUAUCAUGAACACCUCAACCCUCAUGGUUUGCCAUGAUGGGCUUGGACUUUGGGGGUCUUGCUGGAUUGUAGUCAGCUCCCCUUAAAUGAAUCAGCUUGCCAGUGUUUGGUGGCAUCACAGGUGUGAUAAAUAUCUACGCUUGUGGUUUUACAUCAGAUAACCUUCAGUGAUGGAGGUUCACUGGAGCUCAUAAAGGUGUCUCUCCUCUGUGAGGACAGCUCUUUGAAUGUUUGAUCUCAAAUCAGGCAGGACUACCCGCUGAACUUAAGCAUAUCAAUAAGCGGAGGA